UUAUCAACUCUUAUUUAAAACGACCGGAAAUUGUACUCUGCCAAAGCGAGUUCAGAAAGCAUAUCCAGUCCAAACCAGAUAAAGGAAGAGUAUUGACAUAGGUUGCAACAACAACAUACCCAGUGUAGUCCCACAACUGGGGUCUCGGGAGGGUAGAAUGUAUCUAGACCUUACCCUAUGUUGCUCAGACUCUUCAAAAAUGUCAGUGUAUUUUUGGAGGAUCCAACACGGUUGCGGCAUCAAAACUGAAGAGUCCGCACAACUUAGACCUUACCCCUACCUCGCUGAGGUAGAGAGGGCGUUUCCGAAGCAAAACAAUGAGUUGUCGUAGGUUAAUAGCAUAAAAAUUUAAUCUUUAUUCAAAAAUUAAAAUCACAUUAGCUUAAAUAAAGCUGAAUAUCAACAGAUAAUUCAUAUAGAAAAACUCAAACUAAUUUGAAUUAAGGCAUAAUUAAGCAAAUUAACAAAGAAGCUUAACAAUUGGAUUAUAAAAAUCGGUAAAAAAUCACCUAGCAUUUUUUUUUUGGUCUCUACAGAAAUUUGAACCUGAGACCUUAUAUAACCGACGUAGUACUUCUCUUGUUUUUGCAAUAGGAUCAUAACAGUACGUAGACCUUACCCCUACCUCGCGGAGGUAGAGAGGCUGUUACCGAAGCAAAUAAAUGAGUUGUCAUAGGUUAAUAGCAUAAAAAUUUAAUCCUUAUUCAAAAAUUAGGAUCACAUGAGCUUGAAUAGAACUGAAUAUAACAGAUAAUUCAUACAGCAAAACCCAAAUUAAUUAAAA
RNAcentral lists this long non-coding RNA (784 nucleotides) under Capsicum annuum. RNAcentral's name for it is "long non-coding RNA (CANN_LNC015039)". The record is from RNAcentral. Lineage: Eukaryota; Viridiplantae; Streptophyta; Magnoliopsida; Solanales; Solanaceae.